This 434-nucleotide ribosomal RNA is filed under the name uncultured bacterium. RNAcentral's name for it is "partial 16S ribosomal RNA". It matches the Rfam family "Bacterial small subunit ribosomal RNA", at positions 29 to 507 of the family's 1533-position model. The record is from RNAcentral.
AGCGAACGCUGGCGGCAGGCCUAACACACGCAAGUCGAACGAACCUUUCGGGGUUAGUGGCGGACGGGUGAGUAACACGUGGGAACGUGCCUUUAGGUUCGGAAUAACUCAGGGAAACUUGUGCUAAUACCGAAUGUGCCCUUCGGGGGAAAGAUUUCUCGCCUUUAGAGCGGCCCGCGUCUGAUUAGCUAGUUGGUUGAGGUAAUGGCUCACCAAGGCGACGAUCAGUAGCUGGUCUGAGAGGAUGAUCAGUCACAUUGGGACUGAGACACGGCCCAAACUCCUACGGGAGGCAGCAGUGGGGAAUCUUGCGCAAUGGGCGAAAGCCUGACGCAGCCAUGCCGCGUGAAUGAUGAAGGUCUUAGGAUUGUAAAAUUCUUUCACCGGGGACGAUAAUGACGGUACCCGGAGAAGAAGCCCCGGCUAACUUCGUG